RNAcentral lists this non-coding RNA (108 nucleotides) under Peptococcaceae bacterium. RNAcentral describes it as "c-di-GMP sequence". It matches the Rfam family "c-di-GMP-I riboswitch aptamer". From Rfam's summary of the family: GEMM was predicted in a large-scale screen for bacterial structured RNA regulatory elements. Genes associated with GEMM are involved in a diverse array of functions, including chemotaxis regulation, signal transduction, secretion and chitin. Lineage: Bacteria; Bacillati; Bacillota; Clostridia; Eubacteriales; Peptococcaceae. The record is from RNAcentral.
ACUGAAAAAGGCAAACUUACCGAAAGGUACGGGCGCAAAGCUACGGGUCUAAAGCCGGGCAUUUUAUUUUUGAAAAAGUGCCGGGUCAUGAUUGCCGGGCCGCUGAAG